CCGGGGGAGCGGGGCCCGAACACCUGCCGGCCUAGCGGCCGAGCAGCGGGGAUGUUUAGACGAUCUUCCAGCAAUGCGACCGAGGCUCCCCCGGCUUUCUUGCGUUGGUGCCUUGGCAGGGCUGGGGGCGGCCAGCUAGGGGCCCCUUGCCUAUGAGGUCUGCUGACCCAGAAACUUUGCUACGAGCUUCCAGCCAAGGACCAAGCUGAGGCCGACUUUGGGAACGGCAGCACCGUGGUAAAGAGGCACAGCCUGUCGUCUGGCAGGGUCAGCCGCUCAGCCAGUCUGUCUUCUUAUCCACUCAGCCGGUCCUUGUGGAUCAUCUCCUUUACGGACCCUGUGUUAGAAAGAAGGGGAAUUGCUUUGUCGAGGACUGUCAGAGAGUGCCAAGAGCUUCUUGAUCUUAGACUGCGCGGAUGGGUUUUUUUGUACCUGAUGUGUACAAAGUUCCCUGCCAGCUCUUGCCAAGAAUUCAAAGGAGUAAGAAUAAUUGAUCAUAUAGCCAUCAUUGAAGCAGCGCCAGACACUGUGCUAAGAGCUUCAUAUGCAUUACCCCAGCGCUCCUGUUCUCGAGGAACUACUGUCGUCUAGAGAAGGAAUAAAGCAAGUCUAGUGUCAAGCAGCGCAGCAGCGUCUCUGAUCCGAAGUGAAAGCAAGAACCCAG
RNAcentral lists this long non-coding RNA (664 nucleotides) under Homo sapiens (human). RNAcentral's name for it is "non-protein coding lnc-CEP19-1:1". The record is from RNAcentral. Lineage: Eukaryota; Metazoa; Chordata; Mammalia; Primates; Hominidae.